This is a long non-coding RNA of Aptenodytes forsteri (emperor penguin), 169 nucleotides long. RefSeq lists it as uncharacterized. The transcript is spliced from 3 exons. The record is from RefSeq and is a predicted model, not a curated record. Lineage: Eukaryota; Metazoa; Chordata; Aves; Sphenisciformes; Spheniscidae.
GCUGCUGGACAAAGAAAUUAGCAGAGUACGGAAAGACAUGUAUAACGACACAUUAAAUGGUAGUACGGAGAAGAGAAGUGCAGAAUUACCAGAUGCUGUGGGACCUAUUGUACAGUUACAAGAGAAACUAUAUGUGCCUGUAAAAGAAUAUCCAGAUGUAAGUAUAUCU